RNAcentral lists this ribosomal RNA (446 nucleotides) under uncultured bacterium. Its description in RNAcentral is "partial 16S ribosomal RNA". It matches the Rfam family "Bacterial small subunit ribosomal RNA", at positions 329 to 792 of the family's 1533-position model. The record is from RNAcentral.
UACCAGACUCCUACGGGAGGCAGCAGUGGGGAAUAUUGCACAAUGGGGGGAACCCUGAUGCAGCGACGCCGCGUGAGUGAAGAAGUAUUUCGGUAUGUAAAGCUCUAUCAGCAGGGAAGAAAAUGACGGUACCUGACUAAGAAGCCCCGGCUAACUACGUGCCAGCAGCCGCGGUAAUACGUAGGGGGCAAGCGUUAUCCGGAUUUACUGGGUGUAAAGGGAGCGUAGACGGUUAUGCAAGUCUGAAGUGGAAGCCCAGGGCUCAACCAUGGGACUGCUUUGGAAACUGUAAAGCUGGAGUGCAGGAGAGGUAAGCGGAAUUCCUAGUGUAGCGGUGAAAUGCGUAGAUAUUAGGAGGAACACCAGUGGCGAAGGCGGCUUACUGGACUGUAACUGACGUUGAGGCUCGAAGGCGUGGGGAGCAAACAGGAUUAGAUACCCGGGUA